CUGUGCAACACACGUGUUGCUGGGGAGCUGCUGAAACUUUGCUUCCCAGGACAUGGAGAAAACAAGUGUUGUGUGGCCCUGGCUGCAGGAUCUGUUACACAACACCCAGGAUGGAAGUUAAUUGUGUCAUUUUGAAUGAGAAGUGAACUUUAGCAGCAGACCAGGAGGGAACCCUCCUUGGUGCACUGCUGGAAGUUGCUCAGGGCACGCACAGGAUGGUUGGAAAAAACCCAGCCUGGGCAUGUCAGGAUUCUAAUAACGUGCACCCUCUCGUGGUUUAUUCCUGUCACAGGGGGAGCACACGGGAUGGUUUCUGUGUGGAACAGGCUGGGGAUCCCCUCAGCUGCUGUUGAUUUAAGAAAAGACUGUGCACUAAGAUUUGUUCUGUAUUUUAUGGGUUUUUUUUCAAUGUAAGAGUUAUGCUACAUUUGCUGUAAAAGGAUUUCUGUCUUCAGUGUUUUUCAGACUCAUUCUUUCACCUUGAAAGGCCACUUCAAUGUGCAGCUGACCUGUCCCUUGGCAAGGUUUGGGUUGACACCAGUGGGGAUGGAUAUGAGGAUACUGCAGCUGGAGCUCCCCUUGAAGAUCAGCUUUCAAACCGUUCCUCUUUUGGCAGCACUUCCACCUUUAAUAAAGAUAAUAAAGACAAGAUCAAGGGCUCUGUUGCCCAGAGAGUAAAAACCUCUGGAAUUUCUUCAGGACUCCAGUAUUUUGGACAAUCCAUUGCUGGUGGCUUUGAUUUCCCCAAUGAUGGUCUCCAAGACAGGGCAGCAGGAUCUCUGGAGAACGUGACUCUGCUCUGCCAUGUGAGGUCCACUGUUUUUCCAGGGUUCUUCUGAGAAUUAAACAUGAGAAAAAUGAUAACAUGGAGUUUCCUGUUCCUGUGCUGGACAGACACCACCCAUCAGAAAAUGCAUUUUCAGUUCCCUGGCAUGGACUGCAGCAACAGGACCAUCUGUGCUGCUCCUUUGACUUUGACAAGGCAGAUUUGCAUUAAGAGCAUUCCUGAUCCUUUGGCAGCCAUCCUCUCCUGCUGGUCACUGUGGCCAACCAACACCACUAUCUGCUGCAGCCUGUGACUGCAGAACUGGGCAGCCUGUGCUCAAGGAGAUAACUGUGAGUAGAAAUCAUUAACUCCCCUUUUCCUGCCUCUAAAUGAUACUCUGAGUAGCUGCUCUUCAUCCUUUCUCUCUACAACCAGGCCAGAGCUGCUCUUCCUUCUAACUCAGCUCAUGGCUGGGGGGGCAUUCCCCUCAAGGCAAGAGAUAACUUUUAUAUUCCUGCACUAAAUGUCUGAUUUUUCCAGAAGGGAAUGAUGGGCAGAAAAUACACUUGUCACUAUGUUUUAUCAGUACCCUGGUGAGUUACAGAGUAUUUACAGGGUGACUGAUAUUUUGCCUGUCUUUUCCCUCACAAUAGGCAAAAUUUUCAGAGAUUUGGCAAUUAAACAAAAGCAUGAUCCAAAAUAGGUCUGCAAUCACCAUGAGUAUCACUGAGUGGUGUUGUCUUCACCACAAAAUCCACUGUGAACUGGAAACACCAGAAUUCCUACCUGGAGACCAUUUGACUUAUCAGUCACUGGUUACAUGAAACCAGGCUUGUUCUUUUCAGCCUUCCAAAGCCUUUGG
This is a long non-coding RNA of Manacus vitellinus (golden-collared manakin), 1628 nucleotides long. RefSeq lists it as uncharacterized. NCBI's taxonomy places the organism in Eukaryota, Metazoa, Chordata, Aves, Passeriformes, Pipridae. The transcript has 5 exons. The record is from RefSeq and is a predicted model, not a curated record.